This 515-nucleotide ribosomal RNA is filed under the name uncultured bacterium. Its description in RNAcentral is "partial 16S ribosomal RNA". It matches the Rfam family "Bacterial small subunit ribosomal RNA", at positions 28 to 523 of the family's 1533-position model. The record is from RNAcentral.
GAUGAACGCUGGCGGCGUGCCUAAUACAUGCAAGUCGAGCGAAUGGAUUAAGAGCCUGCUCUUAUGAAGUUAGCGGCGGACGGGUGAGUAAUACGUGGGUAACCUGCCCAUAAGACUGGGAUAACUCCGGGAAACCGGGGCUAAUACCGGAUAACAUUUUGAACCGCAUGGUUCGAAAUUGAAAGGCGGCUUCGGCUGUCACUUAUGGAUGGACCCGCGUCGCAUUAGCUAGUUGGUGAGGUAACGGCUCACCAAGGCAACGAUGCGUAGCCGACCUGAGAGGGUGAUCGGCCACACUGGGACUGAGACACGGACCAGACUCCUACGGGAGGCAGCAGUAGGGAAUCUUCCGCAAUGGACGAAAGUCUGACGGAGCAACGCCGCGUGAGGGAUGAAGGCUUUCGGGUCGUAAAACUCUGUUGUUAGGGAAGAACAAGUGCUAGUUGAAUAAGCUGGCACCUUGACGGUACCUAACCAGAAAGCCACGGCUAACUACGUGCCAGCAGCCGCGGUAA